Molecule: ribosomal RNA, 468 nt
Filed under: uncultured bacterium
Lineage: Bacteria
Description: partial 16S ribosomal RNA
Rfam family: Bacterial small subunit ribosomal RNA
Source: RNAcentral
GACGAACGCUGGCGGCGUGCUUAACACAUGCAAGUCGAACGGAAAGGCCCUGCUUUUGUGGGGUGCUCGAGUGGCGAACGGGUGAGUAACACGUGAGUAACCUGCCCUUGACUUUGGGAUAACUUCAGGAAACUGGGGCUAAUACCGGAUAGGAGCUCCUGCUGCAUGGUGGGGGUUGGAAAGUUUCGGCGGUUGGGGAUGGACUCGCGGCUUAUCAGCUUGUUGGUGGGGUAGUGGCUUACCAAGGCUUUGACGGGUAGCCGGCCUGAGAGGGUGACCGGCGACAUUGGGACUGAGAUACGGCCCAGACUCCUACGGGAGGCAGCAGUGGGGAAUAUUGCACAAUGGGCGGAAGCCUGAUGCAGAAACGCCGCGUGCGGGAUGACGGCCUUCGGGUUGUAAACCGAUUUCGACUGUGACGAAGAGUGAGUGACGGUAAUGGGUAAAGAAGCACCGGCUAACUACGUG